UUGUCCGGAGUUAUUGGGCUUAAAUCGCUCUUCCGUGGUUUAUUGCGUCUGAUGUGAAUAUUUUAGGCUCUAUUUCAAACCUGCAUUCUAUACGGGCAAACUGCAUUGUGGUAGGGGAAACUGGAAUUCCUGGUGUAGCGAUGGAAUGCCCAUAUAUCAAGAGGAAUACCAAUGGCGAGGGCAAAUCUC
RNAcentral lists this ribosomal RNA (189 nucleotides) under uncultured bacterium. RNAcentral describes it as "partial 16S ribosomal RNA". It matches the Rfam family "Bacterial small subunit ribosomal RNA", at positions 541 to 729 of the family's 1533-position model. The record is from RNAcentral.